UGCGUAGGCGGGCUAAUAAGUCAGUGGUGAAAUCUUCCGGCUCAACCGGGAACCUGCCAUUGACACUGUUAGUCUUGAGUUCGGUUGAGGUAGGCGGAAUGUGUAAUGUAGCGGUGAAAUGCUUAGAUAUUACACAGAACACCAAUUGCGUAGGCAGCUUACUAGACCGACACUGACGCUGAGGCACGAAAGCGUGGGGAGCGAACAGGAUUAGAUACCCUGGUAGUCC
This 229-nucleotide ribosomal RNA is filed under the name uncultured bacterium. RNAcentral's name for it is "partial 16S ribosomal RNA". It matches the Rfam family "Bacterial small subunit ribosomal RNA", at positions 568 to 796 of the family's 1533-position model. The record is from RNAcentral.